AGCAGCCGCGGUAAUUCCAGCUCCAAUAGCGUAUAUUAAAGUUGUUGCAGUUAAAAAGCUCGUAGUUGAAUUUCGGGACCAAUUUGUUGGUCGUGCCUCGGUACGUACUGGUAUUAUUGGUUUCUCCCUUCUGAAGAACCUUGAUGUCAUUAAUUUGGUGUCUUGGGGAAUCAGGACUGUUACUUUGAAAAAAUUAGAGUGUUUAAAGCAGGCAUACGCUUGAAUACAUUAGCAUGGAAUAAUGAAAUAGGACGUUUGAUUCUAUUUUGUUGGUUUCUAGGAUCGACGUAAUGAUUAAUAGGGAUAGUUGGGGGCAUUAGUAUUCAAUUGUCAGAGGUGAAAUUCUUGGAUUUAUUGAAGACUAACUACUGCGAAAGCAUUUGCCAAGGAUGUUUUCAUUAAUCAAGAACGAAAGUUAGGGGAUCGAAGACGAUCAGAUACCGUCGUAGUCUUAACCAUAAACUAUGCCGACUAGGGAUCGGAUGAUGUUAAUUUUUUAAUGACUCAUUCGGCGCCUUACG
RNAcentral lists this unclassified non-coding RNA (521 nucleotides) under uncultured Glomeromycotina. RNAcentral's name for it is "SSU rRNA". It matches the Rfam family "Eukaryotic small subunit ribosomal RNA", at positions 569 to 1092 of the family's 1831-position model. Lineage: Eukaryota; Fungi; Glomeromycota. The record is from RNAcentral.